UUAUUCAACGGCCGCGGUAUCCUAACCGUGCGAAGGUAGCGUAAUCACUUGUUCUUUAAAUAAGGACUAGUAUGAAUGGCACCACGAGGGUUCUACUGUCUCCUUUUUUUAAUCAGUGAAACUAAUCUCCCCGUGAAGAAGCGGGGAUCUUUAUAUAAGACGAGAAGACCCUAUGGAGCUUUAAACAACCAACAUUUGCUACACCAUAACAUUUUCCCUAAAAGAAGUAUAGCAUUAUGAUUAUUAGUUUUCGAUUGGGGUGAUCACGGAGUAAAAUAUAACCUCCAUGCCGAAAGGGUUCUUACCCUGAGCAAAAAGCCACAGCUUUAAGCACUAAAAAAUUAACGCAGUUUGACCCAAUAUUUUGAUCAACGAACCAAGUUAC
This 385-nucleotide ribosomal RNA is filed under the name Boana boans (rusty treefrog). RNAcentral's name for it is "partial small subunit ribosomal RNA". It matches the Rfam family "Bacterial large subunit ribosomal RNA", at positions 1920 to 2397 of the family's 2925-position model. The record is from RNAcentral. Lineage: Eukaryota; Metazoa; Chordata; Amphibia; Anura; Hylidae.